RNAcentral lists this long non-coding RNA (424 nucleotides) under Homo sapiens (human). Its description in RNAcentral is "non-protein coding lnc-NCR3-1:2". The record is from RNAcentral. Lineage: Eukaryota; Metazoa; Chordata; Mammalia; Primates; Hominidae.
GCUGGCCUUAGUGCCCCAGGAUCAGGGAGGACUGGUUUCAGAAGCUGCCAGAGGAGGAGCCAGAAACAGAUCUCAGCCCCGGGCUCCCAGCUGCCCACCUCAUAGCGCUCCGCUGAAGGGGCAGGGGCUAGGCUGGGAGACGACGAAGGAACAGGCGUUUCUGACGAGCGGGACGCAGUUCUCGGACGCCGAGGGGCUGGCGCUCCCGCAGGACGGCCUCUAUUACCUCUACUGUCUCGUCGGCUACCGGGGCCGGGCGCCCCCUGGCGGCGGGGACCCCCAGGGCCGCUCGGUCACGCUGCGCAGCUCUCUGUACCGGGCGGGGGGCGCCUACGGGCCGGGCACUCCCGAGCUGCUGCUCGAGGGCGCCGAGACGGUGACUCCAGUGCUGGACCCGGCCAGGAGACAAGGGUACGGGCCUCUC